RNAcentral lists this long non-coding RNA (744 nucleotides) under Capsicum annuum. RNAcentral describes it as "long non-coding RNA (CANN_LNC017713)". Lineage: Eukaryota; Viridiplantae; Streptophyta; Magnoliopsida; Solanales; Solanaceae. The record is from RNAcentral.
UCAACCUUAUCAAUAUCUGCAUUUGGAAUAAGGCUGCACUAGCCAAAACCUGUUGGGACUUAGCUCACAAAAGUGACAAACUGUGGAUAUGUUGGAUUCAUAGCUUUUAUAUUAAAUCUGAUCAGGUCUCCACAACUCCUAUUCCAUAGCAAGCCUUUUGGACGAUCAAAAGUAUCAUUGCUACCAGAGAAACACUGCUGCAAACACAAUUGAUGGAGCAUCAACAUAAGAUAACAAUCCGAAAGAUUUAUUUACAAUUGCUGGGUGAAGGAACUAGGAUACCUUGGAAAUGUCUGAUGAUGGAUAAUGGAGCCCGACCAUAGGCAAAAAAUUCUUGUUGUUGUUGCAGAUUCAAAUCAAGUUACUAACAAAAGAUCAGCUACUCAAAUGGGAAUUAGAGGUGGAUAAAUUCUACAAGUUAUGUACAGGGAAUCAGGAAACUCGAACUCACCUGUUUGUUCACUGUGAAUACUCGAAGGAUUUGUGGCAUAGAUUAUUACGAUGGAUAGAGAUAAGUCCUGUUGAUACUAUUACAUGGGAGGAACAUGAGGAUUGGGUGAUAAAGAAAUUCAAGGGCAAAUCAUUACAGGCACAACUCUUUAAAAUGGUCUAUGCGGAAUUUGUACAUGCACUAUGGUUGAAAAGGAACUAUCGAUUGUUUGAAGAGAAGAAUAGACACUGGGAAUCUUUGGCUAAGGAGAUAGCCUAUUAUUGUAAUGUGAGAGCUAAUUUGGUUCUUCGAAC